AGUGAACGCUGGCGGUAGGCCUAACACAUGCAAGUCGAACGGCAGCACAGUAAGAGCUUGCUCUUACGGGUGGCGAGUGGCGGACGGGUGAGGAAUACAUCGGAAUCUACUUUUUCGUGGGGGAUAACGUAGGGAAACUUACGCUAAUACCGCAUACGACCUACGGGUGAAAGCAGGGGAUCUUCGGACCUUGCGCGAUUAAAUGAGCCGAUGUCGGAUUAGCUAGUUGGCGGGGUAAAGGCCCACCAAGGCGACGAUCCGUAGCUGGUCUGAGAGGAUGAUCAGCCACACUGGAACUGAGACACGGUCCAGACUCCUACGGGAGGCAGCAGUGGGGAAUAUUGGGCAAUGGGCGCAAGCCUGAUCCAGCCAUACCGCGUGGGUGAAGAAGGCCUUCGGGUUGUAAAGCCCUUUUGUUGGGAAAGAAAAGCAGCAGGUUAAUACCCCGCUGUUCUGACGGUACCCAAAGAAUAAGCACCGGCUAACUUCGUG
RNAcentral lists this ribosomal RNA (492 nucleotides) under uncultured bacterium. RNAcentral's name for it is "partial 16S ribosomal RNA". It matches the Rfam family "Bacterial small subunit ribosomal RNA", at positions 29 to 507 of the family's 1533-position model. The record is from RNAcentral.